Molecule: transfer RNA, 73 nt
Filed under: Sus scrofa (pig)
Lineage: Eukaryota; Metazoa; Chordata; Mammalia; Artiodactyla; Suidae
Rfam family: tRNA
About the family: Transfer RNA (tRNA) molecules are approximately 80 nucleotides in length.
Source: Rfam by way of RNAcentral
UCCCUGGUGGCCUAGUGGUUAAGGAUCCAGCACUGUCACUGCUGUGGCUCGGAUUCAAUCCCUGGCCUGGGAG